Molecule: long non-coding RNA, 375 nt
Organism: Pseudophryne corroboree (corroboree frog)
Lineage: Eukaryota; Metazoa; Chordata; Amphibia; Anura; Myobatrachidae
Exons: 3
Source: RefSeq, a predicted model, not a curated record
UCAUUUUGAAAUAAAGUUGAUUCAAAAAAGAUCAGUUGGAGAAGUGACAGUUGGAGCUGCAGAGAGAGGAGAGCGGAAGCUGAGAGUCUCGUCCAUUUAUUUGCCGUGUCUACCUUUUGGAGGGGAGGUCGCAUCCUGAUUUAGGUCCUCAGAUUUGCCGGCCGUGUUUGGUGUAGAUGCUGCAAAUGUACUGCCGAAAAUUGCGGGUCCUGCACUUUGUAAGGCCGAGAAGCCGCACCCCACAGAGCUGACACUUGCAGAGUUCACACACAACAGCAGUGCAACGCCCGUCCGUCACUCCUGGAGCGUCUCCACGCCCUCCGCGUAUAAACAGUCUUCCAGCAGGAAAGUUUCCAUUGUUUUUCCCCAUCUGUC